Molecule: ribosomal RNA, 497 nt
Filed under: uncultured bacterium
Lineage: Bacteria
Description: partial 16S ribosomal RNA
Rfam family: Bacterial small subunit ribosomal RNA
Source: RNAcentral
GACGAACGCUGGCGGCGUGCCUAAUACAUGCUAGUAGAACGCUGAAAGGAGGAUCUUGCGCUUCUUGGAGGAGUUGCGAACGGGUGAGUAACGCGUAGGUAACCUGCCUUGGAGCGUGGGAUAACUAUUGGAAACGAUAGCUAAUACCGCAUAACAAUGGAUGACCCAUGUCAUUUAUUUGAAAGGGGCAAAUGCUCCACUACAAGAUGGACCUGCGUUGUAUUAGCUAGUAGGUGAGGUAACGGCUCACCUAGGCGACGAUACAUAGCCGACCUGAGAGGGUGAUCGGCCACACUGGGACUGAGACACGGCCCAGACUCCUACGGGAGGCAGCAGUCGCGAACCUCCGGCAAUGGGGGCAACCCUGAACGAGCCCCGACGCGUGAGUGCAGAAGGUUGUCGGAUCGUAAAGCUCUGUUGUAAGUCAAGACCGAGUGUGAGAGUGGAAAGUUCACAAUGUGACGGCAGCUCAGCAGAAAGGGACGGCUAACUACGUG